CAGUCGCCGCGGUAAAACGAAGGGUGCAAGCGUUAAUCGGAAUUACUGGGCGUAAAGCGUGCGUAGGCGGUUUGUUAAGUCUGUUGUGAAAUCCCCGGGCUCAACCUGGGAAUGGCAAUGGAUACUGGCAAGCUAGAGUGUGUCAGAGGAUGGUGGAAUUCCCGGUGUAGCGGUGAAAUGCGUAGAGAUCGGGAGGAACAUCAGUGGCGAAGGCGGCCAUCUGGGACAACACUGACGCUGAGGCACGAAAGCGUGGGGAGCAAACAGGAUUAGAGACCCCUGUAGUCCCUGUCUCUUAUAC
This 301-nucleotide ribosomal RNA is filed under the name uncultured bacterium. RNAcentral describes it as "partial 16S ribosomal RNA". It matches the Rfam family "Bacterial small subunit ribosomal RNA", at positions 509 to 807 of the family's 1533-position model. The record is from RNAcentral.